AUUGAACGCUGGCGGCAUGCCUUACACGUGCAAGUCGAACGGCAGCACGGGAGCAAUCCUGGUGGCGAGUGGCGAACGGGUGAGUAAAGUAUCGGAACGUGCCCAGUCGUGGGGGAUAACGUAGCGAAAGUUACGCUAAUACCGCAUACGAUCUAUGGAUGAAAGCGGGGGAUCGCAAGACCUCGCGCGAUUGGAGCGGCCGAUCUCAGACCAGUUAGGUAGUUGGUGGGGUAAAGGCUCACCAAGCCGACGAUCUGUAGAUGGUCUGAGAGGACGACCAGCCAAACUGGGACUGAGACACGGACCAGACUCCUACGGGGGGCAGCAGGGGGGAAGUUUGGACAAUGGCCGAAAGCCUGAUCCAGCCAUGCCGCGUGCAGGAUGAAGGCCUUCGGGUUGUAAACUGCUUUUGUACGGAACGAAAAGGUUUGGCCUAAUAAGCUGAGCUCAUGACGGUACCGUAAGAAUAAGCACCGGCUAACUACGUGCCAGCAGCCGCCGUAA
Molecule: ribosomal RNA, 504 nt
Filed under: uncultured bacterium
Lineage: Bacteria
Description: partial 16S ribosomal RNA
Rfam family: Bacterial small subunit ribosomal RNA
Source: RNAcentral